GGGGUUGGCAGGCGGGGAGCACCCCGAUGUCCAUCGGGGAGGUCAGGGGUUCGAGUCCCCUUUCGGGCUCA
This 71-nucleotide transfer RNA is filed under the name Candidatus Subteraquimicrobiales bacterium. RNAcentral describes it as "tRNA-Asp". The record is from RNAcentral. Lineage: Bacteria; Bacillati; Actinomycetota; Candidatus Aquicultoria; Candidatus Subteraquimicrobiales.